AAUGCCUGCGGGAAUGAGGUUCUCCCUAAGCCGUUUCAAGGCUUGAACCGCGUAAAGCUGAUGACUUCUGCAAACGG
This 77-nucleotide non-coding RNA is filed under the name Gordonibacter pamelaeae. Its description in RNAcentral is "Fluoride sequence". It matches the Rfam family "Fluoride riboswitch aptamer (crcB RNA motif)". The record is from RNAcentral. RNAcentral also lists the same sequence under 1 other name. Lineage: Bacteria; Bacillati; Actinomycetota; Coriobacteriia; Eggerthellales; Eggerthellaceae.